Terfezia claveryi is the source of this 100-nucleotide non-coding RNA. NCBI's taxonomy places the organism in Eukaryota, Fungi, Ascomycota, Pezizomycetes, Pezizales, Pezizaceae. The record is from the annotation of a GenBank genome assembly.
GCCCGGUUGGCUCAGUCGGUAGAGCGUGUGACUCUUAAGUGUCUGGUAAACAGGCGCAUGAGGGAUCUCAAGGUCGCGAGUUCGAGCCUCGCAUUGGGCU